Non-coding RNA from Anas platyrhynchos (mallard), 1234 nucleotides. The record is from RefSeq and is a predicted model, not a curated record. NCBI's taxonomy places the organism in Eukaryota, Metazoa, Chordata, Aves, Anseriformes, Anatidae.
AUAUACAAACAUCUUGGAUAACCUUGUUUUUUAAAUCUUGGUAAUAGAGCAGCCCUGCCAGGAGUGAGCAUUACUCCAUCGUCAUGCACUCGGCUGUAAUUGCCCAUCUGACGGCGAGCUCGGAGAUUAACAUCACAGUUCUUGAGCCAUGGACUACAUAUGCCAGACCGCUGCGUGUUGUGUCAAGCCACUUAGGCAUGAACCGUCAGUGUGCAGAGUGUUACUAAACGCUCUUAUUUUUAGGUCACACAGAUGCAGAUCAUCCUGAAUAUUACUCUGGACAAACUGCUAAUCGCUACCUUGUUCAAAAUCUGUUGGACAUUUCCUAUGUGCUGCAUCAAAGGGUGAUAUAUAUAUAUAUAUUUUAAUGAAAAAAAGCAAUACAAGCAAUAAUAAGAAGCUCACUUAUGAGGCCUGCAUAAAAUGGUGUAUAAAACAACCAAGUACAGUAAAUUAAACAUGAUACUCAUUACAUAAAUACAAUUAUAUUUAUCAGCCUUUUAUAACCACACAAAGCAUUUACCAGUAAGAGUUAUUUUGUAGUAGAUAAUUCCCAAUUAACUUUUACUACUUUAUUUUUGCUAAUUUAGUUAGAUUUAAUUUUUCAAAUAAAAAAAAAACAAAACACUGUAUCAAAUGGUAUCUCUAACUAUUACACUGGAGAUGAGAUAUAAUUAAAAUGUUAUGUAUGUGGAAUUGCAACUGAUGGGAACCUCAGCUUAAACUCUUAUUUUUGUCUUUAUUUGAUUGUUGCCUGCAUUGCUCAGAUAACAUGAUUGAAUUGCUAGAUGGCUGUGUGCCCGUGGUGCCAGCACCAGGAGCUCACAGCUGAGAGGGAAAGAAAGAGCUUGAAAGAAAAAGUACCUGGAAAGUCAAGCAGGUCAAGGUCUGGCUUUAUGUUUGCUAAGGAAUCCUACAAGAAGUCCUUCUCCAACCAUGCCAUUUUCUUCUAUAAAGCCUUAGACUGAGUGAUGAUGGUGCUGUGCACUGGUCAAAGAAGACUCCAUCUAAACUUGGCACCAAAAUUCAGACUUCAAGCCAAGCCAGUUCACUUGGGCAAAGAGUCCUGCCCAGUCAUUUGAGUUUUUUAGGCUCUUUACAGUUCCUCAUCUUCUCAAGGAGGCUGGUAAGAGACAGUGUCUCUUGGGAAAGGGACUCUUGAAUGAGUCCCUUUCUAAUUUUAUUCAUUUUUAAAAUAAAUCCUUCAAAAUAAAAUGAAGGACAACUCUGAAAA